This 73-nucleotide transfer RNA is filed under the name Cordylochernes scorpioides. RNAcentral describes it as "tRNA-Thr". Lineage: Eukaryota; Metazoa; Arthropoda; Arachnida; Pseudoscorpiones; Chernetidae. The record is from RNAcentral.
GUCCAGGGAUGGGGAUUGAACCCACAGUGUUCCACUAACUGGGCAGAUGCCAUGUCCACUAAGCUACCCUGGA